GGGGGUUCAGAGAGGCGCCACACAAGGUUGGAAGUCGGAAAAGCCCUGGAAGGGUCGGUCUUUUACGAACUUAGAUCGGGGGGUAUUUUAUACCCAACACCAGUCGGCUGAUAGCAAGGCCUAGAGAGCCUUUGGAGCGGCCCGGUAGAUGGAUGGAGAAGCUCAUUGUUGGAGAAGUCUAGAAGCUUGGACAGUCGAGGGGGUUCAGAGAGACACCACACA
This 222-nucleotide long non-coding RNA is filed under the name Elaeis guineensis (African oil palm). RNAcentral's name for it is "long non-coding RNA (EGUI_LNC073115)". The record is from RNAcentral. Lineage: Eukaryota; Viridiplantae; Streptophyta; Magnoliopsida; Arecales; Arecaceae.